GAGCGGAGCACCACCCGGGAGGAACGUAAACGAAAAAGACAUGUAUGGAGAGACAGCUCUGCAUAGAGCUGCUUUUGCUGGCAAAGUGAAGGAAGCUGAAGACCUCAUCACUGAAGGAGCCGACCCUAAUAUUGGAAAUAAUUUUAAUGAG
This is a long non-coding RNA of Sitodiplosis mosellana (orange wheat blossom midge), 151 nucleotides long. RefSeq lists it as uncharacterized. NCBI's taxonomy places the organism in Eukaryota, Metazoa, Arthropoda, Insecta, Diptera, Cecidomyiidae. The record is from RefSeq and is a predicted model, not a curated record. The transcript is spliced from 3 exons.